Synchiropus splendidus (mandarinfish) is the source of this 537-nucleotide long non-coding RNA. RefSeq lists it as uncharacterized. The record is from RefSeq and is a predicted model, not a curated record. NCBI's taxonomy places the organism in Eukaryota, Metazoa, Chordata, Actinopteri, Syngnathiformes, Callionymidae. The transcript has 2 exons.
UUCACUCCAAAAACAACACGCAGACGACAACAGACGGUCUAUACCUGCCAACUCGUCCGGUUCCAAUCCACUUUCUGUGUCGAUCCCACAGAUAACGAAGUAAUGAGCGAAGCGGCAGGACGCGGCGCUGGACGCCGCGGAGCUGCCACUCAUCCCGGCUGCAGAGAGCGCCGAGGUCCGCUGCUAAUGGUCCCGGAGACACAUCUCCGCGAAGACGGAAACCGUAGCAAUAACGCAAGAGCGCACAUCCAGACUGACGACUCAAGUGAGUGGAUCUUCGCGACUAGAAACGAAGCAACAGCGGGGAGACGAGUGGACCGGAGUCGGGGCGGAGUCUAAAGCCAAUAUGGCGGCACAUUUAAAAUCACAUCUGUGACUUGUAAAUAUGUGAAAGACAUUGUUUGAAUAAUAAUUUCCUUUUGCUGCCGUUGAUUUAUAUUAAAUGUAUACUUUGAGGCGCAAAGCAUAUUUUGUACUUAAAUCCUUUCUUUUGCCCAAAGACCCCAACAUUUGAAAAAAAAAGUAAAAAAAAAGAAA